Molecule: ribosomal RNA, 405 nt
Filed under: Sergia hansjacobi
Lineage: Eukaryota; Metazoa; Arthropoda; Malacostraca; Decapoda; Sergestidae
Description: partial 12S ribosomal RNA
Source: RNAcentral
UGAAACCAGGAUUAGAUACCCUAUUAUACUUUGUUUUAAAUUAUAUUACCAGGGUAGUAAACAGUUAUAAUCUUGAAACUCAAAGGAUUUGGCGGUAGCUUAGUCUGUUUAGAGGAACCUGUCCUGUAAACGACAAACCACGAAUUAUCUUACCUUGUUUUGUAAAUAAUACCAGUUUGUAUACCGUCAUUAUCAGAUAACUUUAUAAAAAUAUUAGUUAUUGUAAUAAGAAGUUCUUAGAAUAUUAGAUCAAGGUGCAGCUAAUAAUAAGGUAGAGAUGGGUUACAAUAAAUAAAAUUACUACGGAAGAAAAAUUUAAAGUUUUUUUAGAAGGAGGAUUUAAAUGUAAAAGUAUUUUAAUAAGUUACUUUGACUUUAGCUCUAAGCUAUGUACAUAUCGGCCGU